GGAAAACAGUAUGAAGGUUCCUUAAAGAAUUAAAACUAGAACUACCGUAUGACCCAGCAAUUCCACUUCAGGGGGAGGGGGUAAUACAUCCUGAGGAAAUAAAAUUACUAUCUGGAAGGGAUAUCUGCCCCCCCACCCUCCAUGUUCAUUGCAACAUUAUUCAUAACAGCCAGGACAUGGAAACAAUAUCUCAACGAAGCUGAGAAAGGAAAGCCUUCACAGCAACCUUCUGCAUACCCUUGUCCCCACUCUAUUGGAGAAGAAACUGAGGGCUCAUUUGCCAAAUGUUCACAUGGUCAGUAGGUGGCAGAUCCAACGUUCCAGCCCAGGUUGGCUCAACUCCGGGGCCCAUAUUCUUGGCUAAUUCACCUUCAACACCUCCAGGUCUUCAGAAAUCAAAGUCUUAAAUAAACUUUGAAUUGAAUGGAACUUAGCUUUGUCCUCUGGCACUUCCAGCAUAGAAGACAUAAAGAUCUUACUGACAUAACUAAAAUUUUCCUCAAUUGUCUUCCCACCCUCUGCCACCCCCAGUUGUUGACGCAAACAGUGGGAUGAGGCAAGAUCACCUGAGUGGAAGCACAGAAUGAAGCAGCACUAAAGAGGUGAAAAUAACCUCCCUGUACCCAAGUAAGCCUCCAGCAGAUUGGGCCCUGUGGGAAUCCUUGCACAGCCUCACUGCAACAGCCGUGCCUUGGGUUUCUGUUCUGCACUUUCCACAGACCGUGCAAAAAUGACACCUGGAAAGUAACUCAGCUCCCACUAGGCGAGCAGAGACAAAAAUAUGUCAUGGACUCCUAUAGAAGUCACUUCUUGUACAAGGUAAGAGGCCAUGCUGGACAGAAGUCCAGGGCUUGCGUCACAAGGAUUUGUAGGAACUGUGUAUAUUAAGAGAGGAAGCUAAGAAAGGGCCUCAGCUGACCCCAGAGACAGGACCAAACAAAUGAAUUUUCUUCAUUUUAAUUCACAUCUAACAUGCACAUGGAUAAAAUAAGUGUGGGCCUGGAAACAUUUACCAAACUGGACUAGUGACAUUUAAUUAAAGCAUUGUUGACCUUGCAGGAAGAAUUGGAGGCACUAAGGGAGGAGAAGAGCCUUCAUCCUCCUCUACUGCUUAAAGCCUUUCAGUGGCUCCCAUUCUCUUUGGGAGUAAUUCCUGCCAUCCCGGCCCAUUCUGAGGCCUGCACAGCAUGGCUCCUGCUCCGGCCCCAGGCCACACCCACUCCUGUGCUCCUGGGCUUCCAGAGAUCCUCUAACUCACUUUGCUCUCCUUGUCUCCGAAGUAGCUGUGCCCUGUACCUAGAACAAUACUUCCAUGCCCUCCUUACCAGCUGACACCUGCUCAUCCCUCAUAUCUCCACUUACUCACCACCUCCUCCUGGAACCGUCUCAGCUGCCCAGAGGUACAGCUCAGUAUGUUUCCUAAGUUCUCUCCUAAUGCCUCUACUCCCUAGUGAAGCACUCACGCUGAUGGAAAUUGCUUGAAAAAAUUUUCCCUGGGGGAAAGCUCUCUGAGGGUAGGGCCUAAAUAAUUGUAUCAUUACUGUGCAUCAAGUGGACAGUAUCAUGCUGGAAAUGUGAAACUACAGAUGAAUGGAGUAAAUGAACACAGAGAUAAAGCUUGAAUUAUUCCCUCUGCCUAUGAGAGGCCUCUUCCAUCUCCUCUGGAAAUAGACCCCUCUUGUCUUGUUGACAUGGUCUGUCCAAGCAGGGAAUGUUAAGCCAAGCCCACCCAGGUUCUUUGAGUUUGGCUGUGUCCCAUUAAAAAUAUAAUCCAUAAACCCAGGCCAAGGCUCCAUCCAUCAGACACCAAAGGCCAAGCCUGCCAUCAUCAAUAACAGGGCUGAUGUUGCUGUCAGUACCAGGAAAUGAGGAAAGUGAUGCAGGCCCAGCAACUCAGGGAUACCAGCAGCUGCACCAGCCACUGAGGUGGAUUGCCUUUGGAUGCCCAAAGAGCGUGUCUAAGAAACAAGGAGGACUCCUGUUCAGCAAGAUGAGAACUCUACAAAUAUGAAGCCUAGCUGGUGGAGAGAAAUUAAUAAAAUGUUACUUCAUGAUUUAACUAUAUAUUCAUUUUUCAUCUGGAUUAAAGAUAUACUACACUUUAUGAAUGAAAACAUGCUGCUAAUUAACAUUAAUCUACUCAGGAGAAGGAAAGUCAGUGUAGAUUCUUUUUAAUAUUAAAGUAGAGGUGUAAACCUAUCUCUUUAUUAUGUAUUAAAGUUAAUCCAACUAGGCUGGAGAAUAUUUUGGCAUUUUUCUGCUUUUGGAGUUGUCUGAAGGGGACUUCAAGGGCAUGAUGACAUGCCAGUGAAGCUACCUGCAGCAUUCGCCCCUAUACAAACUACGCUGGAGGACUCACACCCACCCUCCUCCCCAGCCCGUGGACUCCUGAAAGGUAGCCCAGGAAAGGCACAUUUUAGGUUAUUCACUCCGUUCUCAACAAAAUCCCUUCUCUGGAAAAUGCCCCUGGCCAAGCUAGCCAUUCCAGGCAUAUUCAUACUCCGCAACCCGCCCUCCUGGCUAUGGGUCACCUAAGUUGGGCCAGAGUUGGAAAUCUGAAAUCAGGGCUAAGAGUGCCCAGUUUCAGUCUGGACUGGUCCCUUGAGCAGAGGAGAUAUAAAGACCCGGGGGCUUUGAGGACAGCCACUUUCUGCCAAGUGGACCAAACAGUAGAGAAAGCCAGCAUGGAGAAAAGCAGCAGGAAGCCCCUGCAGAAGUAACAGAGACAAGAGAGGGACUUCCUGGGUUCCCACACCUAGGCCCUCCCUGCUCCCUCUCUCCAAUGCUUUUCCCCUAACCUUGUACCCCUGUCCAUUGUAAACGAAUUACUGGACACCCUCAGACUCCAUAGAGUUCUACCUCCACCUGACUGACCCUUCUUGACUUGAUCAAAAGCUGACUUGGAAGCAUGCUGAUUUUGGUACUACAUCAUGUUUACCUCCCCAGAUCAUGAGUGCACAGACACAUUGCUUUCCUAGCACCUAGAUGUGCUCAACACACAUUUAUUGAAUGAGUAUUGAUAUCACCUUUCUUGAAGGGCUCUCAGUGGAGGUUGCUCAUUCACUUGAUUCCCACAUACCAUGAAGGCAGGUGGAUGGACAGUCUUCAUGCUGCCACUGCUGCUUCUAGACAUCACUCCUCCUCCCUUAUAAAAACAAAAAACACAAACAAAAAUCCAACAGCAACCAGUCCUGAGGUUUGUGACAUCACAGUCGUCUAUACAUGUUGACUUAAUUCCUCAAACCAAGUUCCCCCCAUCCUAACAGGGACCCUCAUCAGUCCAAGGUUUGAUUCCAUCCAUCAAUAAUUUCUCCUCAGGGUUUCACAGAAUCCAUUUCAGGGUAACAUUUGAGAAUGGCCUGCUGAGAACUGAUUUGUCUGGUCCAGGUAGCAUGAGAGCUGUGCAUGUGGAAAACAAUUAGGACCAGAGAGAUUCUUCCCACACAAUCAGAGAGCAGGGAAACAAAGGAUCAAACAAUGAUUUUCUUCUGAGAACUAAAAGCAGGACACUGAAAGCCUGCCUUCACUUGGUGCAUUUUUAAAUGACUCUUCUGCUACUUAAAAGGUUUUAGCCUACUUCCUGCUCUGAAACUCUCAGGAACUAGAGCCAGACCCUACGUACCACAUAUAUCCUGAAAGAACUGCAAUUCCAGAAGAGGUUUUCAAUCCAUUAGAACACUGCAUCCUGCAGACUAUCAUCUCUCUGUAGACAAAGAUCAACUUUGUCUUAUUCAUUAUUGCAGACUCAGUGCCUAGCACAGUGCUUGAUACCAAAGGAUGCCUCAAAGCAUAUUUGUUGAAUGAAUGUUUUUAAAAUAUUUUCUUAGAGUCAGGAUUAGCCUAAGCAGAAACUGAAGUGAGUUCAGGGCUGGCGAAAAUUACAUUUUAUCAUAGUUAGGUAUUAAGUUUUUAAAUUUGCUAUGACUAUAUGUUAUUUAGACAAAUAACUUUACUGUUUUAACUAGUUUUAAAAAUGGCCAAAUUAACACAUGGUAUUACCUUGAACACGGUUAUUCACAUGUAGGAGAAAGAAGCUGAAUCCAGACAGUACCAUCUACCUAGUGCAAGUGAUGUGGAUCAAAGAUAGACUGCAAAGGAGGGAAUCAACAGCUCUGGAACACCACCCUUGCAAACCUGAACCUAUGACGUGGCGGCAAUUGUUCCAUGAGGAGUUGAUCCCAACCACUCCCAGGAAUUGUCCUGUAGGACAGUCAUUUGGUAGCAGGGCUGGGAGGAAAACAGGAGCAGCCAUGUUGAAACCUCACAGCCAGUGACUGGACUAGGAGAACCGGCACCAGAGGAGUCUCCCAUGAUGCCAUGUUCUGAGGCACUUCAGACUGGCGCCACCAGGAGGCCCAAUUCAAUCAAAGUUGCUUUUGUGCUACUCUUCCUGUCAUUAGUUUACAACAUGUCACUGGUCCUUGUGCUACACAGACAGGUAAAUUCAAAUAUUUCACUGGCUCUUUCCUAUCCUGUCAGCUCUUCAGCUCUCUGCCAUCUCCCCAGUGAAGAGCUCUGUAGAUUCUCCAGAAUGAACAGGAAAUAAUAAUUGUAAAAAUGUUUUAAAUAAGUAAAGUCCUGGCAGGUUUCAUGUGCUCUCCCCCUCAGUAUCAGAUUCUCUCAUUAACCUUCACAGGGUCAAAACUGGGAAAUAAAACUUAGAAAACCUUCUAAGGAAAUGAGAUUAUUUUUAGCAGAAAGAGCCACAUAACAAUGUCUUUCAAGUGUAGGAAUGGCUUUCACACAGUGAAGAGCUACUUUUCAUCUCCUCUAAACAAAGAACAAGAAGAGCCCAGUUUUAGUUGAAACUUGAGGAAUUUAACUUCGAUAAUAUUACUUUUGGUUCUCUGAUAUUCCUUCCAUGGAAUUUUUUUUUUUAAGUAGGGUAGAUUCUCAUCUUUCUGAAAUGCUUUUAAACAAUUCAGCCUGAAUGCAGAAGAUGGAGCAAAUGGUCUUUUAAAGACUCCUCAUCUUCAAGAUGUUGGACAUGCAGGAGCUUCAAGAGGAAACUGUAUUUUGUCAUUUGAUGGCCAAUUCCAUUCUACCAAACAUUUCUAAAACACCAGAUACAAAUUUUCAUACAGAUGAUGACCUAACAGCUUUCUCCUUCAUUUAAACCUACUGGUUGAUUUCCUCUCCUAGUUAUUGAGAACUGUCCACCCUUCCUCCAAUUGUUCUGACAUGUUUCCUCAGACACUUUCAUCCUAUCCAAGUCCCUGUGAACUCACACUAUGUCCUCUGCAAUAAAGAGGGGCCUUUCCCCUUAAAUCAUACAAUCUUCUAAAAAAGGAGAUUAUUAACCAUUGUGUCUUAGUUAAAUUUCAACAUGGGAAAUUAGGUUUUGCCUUCCUACAAUUUCCUCGUCAUUUUAAUUAGAAAUACUAUUUAAUAUCCCACUCAAAACGAAACUUGUUGCAGAGAGGGUUGCCUCAAAGGGGCCUGCCUUUUCUAGCACAGAGGAGGCGACAUUUCAGAGAUGUAUGACUAAUACUCCUGGGGCAGGAGCUGAGUACAUUGGGAUCCUUUGAGAGUAAAGGUACCUCCAAAGGAUAAAAUUGAUUUUUAUUUUAUGCCUGCGGUAGACAAUUCCAUAAGACAGAUUUUUCCCUCCAGCAUUUUGCAGCAUCUUCUAAAAUUCAGAAUCAAGGCAAGAGCUGCUUGGUAACAUUGUGUGGAUGACGCAUUAUACGGAGCUGACUCUGUGACAUCAUGCUGUCUUGUUCUCAGUUAGAGCAACCCCAUGUGCCUGCCCUGUACUCCCCAGCCCUGUGAGUCACUGCAUGAUAUAUUAUCCAGGAAAUGCACAACGAUGCUUUUCUAAAAACUCACGAUUACAAAAUUGAGGCUUCCGGCCUGGGAAUGUAGAGUGAAAAAAGUAAACUCUCAAAAGGAGUGGGUUCUCAUUUCUGUUUUUCUUCUCAUUAUUAAGUAUAGGAUCCUACAAGGGAUUAUAGUCUUUAAGCAUUGCAAGUGAUUAUUGUUUUUUGCCAUUUUAUUGCCUCAAAACUGAAGUUUAUUUUCCACCAACAAGAACUUUCCAUUAUGAAUAGCUAUGUCACUCCACAUCCUAAGAACCUUUUAUCAUCAAAAAUGGCUAAAUAUCUAUGCAUUCAUUAUGAAUGCUGAAUACAAUUGGCUAAAUAAGCUCCACUCAUGCCUGAAGAAUCCUAUAAUACAAAACAAUUUGAUACAUACAAACUUGUAGUGGAUUUGAAUGAUGAUAAAAUAAAUAAAAUAUUGAGGAUAAUCUACUAAAGAGAAAACAAAAAUUUGGCUUUAUCCAAAUACUUCUAAUCUGAGAAAAGAAAAUCGUGCUGGACCCCAAAUAGUGGGAACUCAAAGUUGAAAAUCUUUUCUUCUGUCUCCACCUUCCAAAUUUCAGUAAAUAAAAGAAUUAGUGAACAAAAGAGUCAGUGAACAAAAAUUGAGAGAACGAUAGAAACAGCAGAGAUUAAUCAAGCCAAGAUGUUAACAAGGAUGGAAUCUCUUUCUGGCAAGGCUGACCUUUCCAAACCAGUACAUAGUAUUUCUCACUCCUGGAGCUUAAGACUCUAGGACAGCUAGACAAAUUAGCCAGAGUGCAGACCCCCAGGGUUGAAAAGCAAUCAGGCAGAGAGUACACAUUAAAUACCCUCCCUUGCCUCAAAAACACCAUCCUUCUCCUAUUGGAAAUGUACCGUUAGCGGCAGGGCAGCAUUGCUUGGGGUUUGAAUGGUAUAGGCUUGAUUUGGAUCAUCCCCAUGAAGGCGACACUGUGGGUUCCACAGAGAAGAAAUCACUCUGGGUAAUCACUUUAACAGGCAAAGAAACCUCUGGAACCACUAUUGGAUUUGGAGGUCAGCCAACCAGGCAGAACCUGAAGGAGCCUCUGGACCCAGACACUCUAAUACACCCCCCGAGGAAUUUUAGUUCUUUCUGUCCCACACUCCACUUGUUUAACAGCAUGGAACAAUGAGGGUCACUCAAGUCCUCUUCAGUGAGUCCGAGGCUGAGAACUCAGUGGGGCUUCCAGGAAUACUUCAUGUUACAGGUACAUACAUGCCUGACAACACAUUCCCUUUGGUUUCACAGUUAUAACAUGGGCUGUAGAGGUGGGGCAGGAAACUGAGAGUUAACUUUACCUUUUUCCCAACGAUUACUCUGGGCCAGCCAUGGGAAAUCCCAUUAGAGGCUCCAAAUGGGUUCAAAGUCAAUGUCCUGGAGGAAAUAACUAUUACAGCUAUAAAAAAAUGUUGUCAAAAUUUGGAAGUUAUAAUGAUGCUCAUCCAAGGACCUAGAAAUAAUGGUCAUAGCAUGGCUUAAAAUCAAUGUACAAGAGUAAAAGAUACACAAAGUCAUCUUUGCCUAAGACAAGAUGGCUGCCAAACUGGCAGGUUCGACCAUAGCUUCAUUGAAAGUAACUGCUAUUUUAAAAAAGACCAACUCAAUCAGAAGAAAGAUUUGUCACUUUUGGAAGCUUUUAUGGCUACCAGCUACUGAUGUUAUAAAAAAUAACUUAAUAGUUGCAUAGAUAGAAACUGCCAAACUGUUUUCCAAAGAGGCUGUGCCAUUUUACAGUCUCACCAGUAAUGUAUCAGUGAUCCAGUUUCUCUGCAUCCUUGUCAGCAUUUGGUAUUAUCAUUUUUUUUAGCCAUUCUGAUAGAUGGGUAGUGAUAUCUCAUUGUAGUUUUAAUUUACAUUUCCCCAAUGGGUAAUGAUAUUGAACAUCUUUUCAUGUACUCCUUUGCCAUAUAUAUAUCCUCUUUAGUGAAAUGUCUCUUCAUAUCUUUUGAUCAUUUGGUAAUUUAGUAUUUGUUCUUUUACUGUUGAAUUUUGAGAGUUCUUCAUAUAUGCUAGAUACUAGUCCUUUGCCAGAAAUGUGGUUUGCAAAUAUGUUCUCCUGGUGGGUAGCUUUUCUUUUAUCCUCUUAACAGGGUCUUUCACAGAGCAAAAGUUUUCAAUUUUGAUCAAGUAAAAUUUAUCAAUUUUCCUUUUAUGAAUUGUGCUUUUGGUGUCCAGCCUAUGAACUGUUUGUCUAGCCCUAGAUCCCAAACUGAAUUUUCUCCUACAUUUUUUUCUAAAAGCUUUAUAGUUUUGCAUUUUACAUUUAAGUCCAUGAUCCAUUUUGAGUUAAAUUUUGUAUAAGGAAUGAAGUUUAGGCAAGAUUGUCGGUGUCGCAAUCCAAUGUACGCAUCAGGAUAGAUGUGGAGAGGGCUGAUGGCCACUCAGAGUUUAUUAUAACCAGCGUUUCAAUAUAUACAUAGCUUACAUCUGUUAAACAUACAGAGGUGUUCUGGAUGAAGUAAUUAGCGAAUGCCAAGAAUUCUUAGUGAUUUCUCAAGGAGCCCUCCUUCAGCCUCCGUUUUGAUAUUAUCAUAUUAUUGCUGUGCUUGUAUAUUUUUAUCUCGGAGCAGGCAAGGUCUCCUAGGCAAUGGCCCCUCCUGCUCCCAAUAUCGAUAUCGU
Equus caballus (horse) is the source of this 8442-nucleotide non-coding RNA. NCBI's taxonomy places the organism in Eukaryota, Metazoa, Chordata, Mammalia, Perissodactyla, Equidae. The record is from RefSeq and is a predicted model, not a curated record.